AAAUAUUUAGAUUUAGCAUUACUUAAACAAUCUAAAAAAGUGUGUAAUUUAUUAAAUAAAAGUGUUUUC
Molecule: transfer RNA, 69 nt
Filed under: Ulva fenestrata
Lineage: Eukaryota; Viridiplantae; Chlorophyta; Ulvophyceae; Ulvales; Ulvaceae
Description: tRNA-Phe
Source: RNAcentral